RNAcentral lists this ribosomal RNA (397 nucleotides) under uncultured bacterium. RNAcentral's name for it is "partial 16S ribosomal RNA". It matches the Rfam family "Bacterial small subunit ribosomal RNA", at positions 523 to 918 of the family's 1533-position model. The record is from RNAcentral.
AUACGUAGGUGGCGGGCGUUGUCCGGAAUUACUGGGCGUAAAGGAUGCGUAGGUGGAUAUUUAAGUGGGAUGUGAAAUCCCCGGGCUCAACCCGGGAACUGCAUUCCAAACUGGGUAUCUAGAGUGCAGGAGAGGAAAGCGGAAUUCCUAGUGUAGCGGUGAAAUGCGUAGAUAUUAGGAGGAACACCAGUGGCGAAGGCGGUUUUCUGGACUGUAACUGACACUGGGGCAUGAAAGCGUGGGUAGCAAACAGGAUUAGAUCCCCUGGUAGUCCACGCCGUAAACGAUGGGUACUAGGUGUAGGAGGUAUCGACCCCUUCUGUGCCGUCGUUAACACAAUAAGUACCCCGCCUGGGGAGUACGGUCGCAAGACUAAAACUCAAAGGAAUUGGCGGGG